UUUGAUCAUGGCUCAGAAUCNACCGCUGGCGUGCGUGCCUAACACAUGCAAGUCGAACGGGAAAGCACUUUUCGGAGUGCGAGUAAAGUGGCGAACGGGUGAGUAACGCGUGGGUGAUCUACCCUUUGGUGGGGGAUAACCCGGGGAAACCCGGGCUAAUACCGCAUAAGCCUGAGGUGGUCGACAUUUCAGGGAAAGUUUCUGGAUGCCGAAGGAGGAGCCCGCGUCCGAUUAGCUAGUUGGUGAGGUAAGAGCUCACCAAGGCGACGAUCGGUAGCCGGUCUGAGAGGACGGACGGUCACACUGGGACUGAGACACGGCCCAGACUCCUACGGGAGGCAGCAGU
This 346-nucleotide ribosomal RNA is filed under the name uncultured bacterium. RNAcentral describes it as "bacterial SSU rRNA". It matches the Rfam family "Bacterial small subunit ribosomal RNA", at positions 12 to 355 of the family's 1533-position model. The record is from RNAcentral.